CCAGAGGCUGCCCACAGCGCGGGAGCGAGCCGCUCUGUCACUGCCCUAACACCGCCAAACAAACCAGCAAACACCCCCGCCUCCUGGAUCAGGGCAGAGCAGGAAUCUCAAGCAUCUAUGUCAGGUGUGAAAUCAAAUCCUGGGAGAGCUGGGCUGGCCUGUGGCGUGACUGAGCACCCAUCACUGUGUUCCUUUGAAGGAAGAAUCUGGCAAGCAGCAUGAUGUGGGAUCAUGCCUUAAGUAUGUUCAUGAAGAAGGGGACAGAAGGGGAAGGAAAAGCCACCUCAAGCCAGCAGGAAGGGGCCGGUAACAGCAACAAAGUGAACCAGCUCUUCUGUGAAAUCCUCAUCUGAAAAACAUCAAUUGUAAAUUUGCAAUCUCAUUUUUCCACAUUUGCAUGUGAAUAAAUCUGAUUCUUAAAUGCUCUGCAGAAAAUGAAUGAGGCAUUUGUCUAA
Non-coding RNA from Taeniopygia guttata (zebra finch), 455 nucleotides. NCBI's taxonomy places the organism in Eukaryota, Metazoa, Chordata, Aves, Passeriformes, Estrildidae. The record is from RefSeq and is a predicted model, not a curated record.